Molecule: long non-coding RNA, 328 nt
Filed under: Parus major (Great Tit)
Lineage: Eukaryota; Metazoa; Chordata; Aves; Passeriformes; Paridae
Description: lncRNA (ENSPMJG00000009644.1)
Source: RNAcentral
AUGGUCAGCAUCAUUCCAGCCACCAGCACAAGGCAAAAACAUGUACACACAGAGCACCUCCUGCCCAGAGCACCCAUCAGACAUCCCACCUCACCUGCUGACACAAUCCUUCAGCACCCACCAAAAUCAAAUGCAGCUAAUUGGAAGGUGAUGACAGCCAGGAGACUGCUGGAUUUACAUGCUAAUUCCUCUAUUUUAGCGUCACACAGCCCAAGUACAGGUAAAAUGAGACUCCUCACUUCAUUCCAGACUAUUUCCUGCCUUCUCCACAUUACACAUGAAUACACACACACACACACACACACACACACACACACACACAAACACA